UACGUAGGGGGCAAGCGUUGUCCGGAAUCAUUGGGCGUAAAGCGCGUGUAGGCGGUCCGGUAAGUCCGCUGUGAAAGUCGAGGGCUCAACCCUCGAAUGCCGGUGGAUACUGUCGGGCUAGAGUGCGGAAGAGGCGAGUGGAAUUCCUGGUGUAGCGGUGAAAUGCGCAGAUAUCUGGAGGAACACCGGUGGCGAAGGCGGCGUUCUGGACUGCAACUGACACUGAUGAACGAAAGCCAGGGGAGCAAACGGG
RNAcentral lists this ribosomal RNA (253 nucleotides) under uncultured bacterium. RNAcentral's name for it is "partial 16S ribosomal RNA". It matches the Rfam family "Bacterial small subunit ribosomal RNA", at positions 524 to 776 of the family's 1533-position model. The record is from RNAcentral.